CCGUAGGUGAACCUGCGGAAGGAUCAUUACCGAGUGCGGGAACCCAGUCGGGUCCCAAUCUCCCACCCGUGUCUACCACACCUAGUGUUGCUUUGGCGGGCCCACUCCUCCGGUGUUCCGCCGGGGGGGUCGUCCCGGGGCGCGGUGUGCCCCCGGGGCCCGUGCCCGCCAGAGGCACUCACUGUGAACGCUUUUGUGAAUGCGAGGAUUGUCUGAGUGACGAAAUGCAAUCGUUCAAAACUUUCAACAAUGGAUCUCUUGGUUCCGGCAUCGAUGAAGAACGCAGCGAAAUGCGAUAAGUAAUGUGAAUUGCAGAAUUCCGUGAAUCAUCGAAUCUUUGAACGCACAUUGCGCCCUCUGGUAUUCCGGGGGGCAUGCCUGUCCGAGCGUCAUUGCGAACCCUCAAGCACGGCUUGUGUGUUGGGCCGCCGUCCCCUCGUUUGGAGGGGACGGGCCUGAAAGGCAGCGGCGGCGUCGCGUCCGGUCCUCGAGCGUAUGGGGCUCUGUCACGCGCUCAAGGAGGGGUCCGGCCGGGGCCAUAGCCUCUGAAGGUCAAUUCUUCCAAGGUUGACCUCGGAUCAGGUAGGAGUACCCGCUGAACUUAAGCAUAUCAAUAAGCGGGAGGAA
Molecule: ribosomal RNA, 627 nt
Filed under: Thermomyces lanuginosus
Lineage: Eukaryota; Fungi; Ascomycota; Eurotiomycetes; Eurotiales; Trichocomaceae
Description: eukaryotic LSU rRNA
Rfam family: 5.8S ribosomal RNA (bases 239-392)
Source: RNAcentral